UACGGGGGGAGCAAGCGUUGUUCGGAAUCACUGGGCGUAAAGGGAGUCUAGGCGGUUUGGUAAGUGGGAUGUGAAAUCCCCGGGCUCACCCCGGGACCUGCAUCCCAAACUGCUGAGCUUCAGUACAGGAGAGGGUGGGGGAAUUCCAGGUGUAGCGGUGAAAUGCGUAGAUAUCUGGAGGAACACCGGUGGCGAAGGCGCCCACCUGGCCUGCUACUGACGCUGAAGCUCGAAAGCUAGGGGAGCAAACGGG
RNAcentral lists this ribosomal RNA (253 nucleotides) under uncultured bacterium. Its description in RNAcentral is "partial 16S ribosomal RNA". It matches the Rfam family "Bacterial small subunit ribosomal RNA", at positions 524 to 776 of the family's 1533-position model. The record is from RNAcentral.